This 166-nucleotide non-coding RNA is filed under the name uncultured Mediterraneibacter sp. Its description in RNAcentral is "Lysine riboswitch". It matches the Rfam family "Lysine riboswitch aptamer". From Rfam's summary of the family: Riboswitches are metabolite binding domains within certain messenger RNAs that serve as precision sensors for their corresponding targets. Lineage: Bacteria; Bacillati; Bacillota; Clostridia; Lachnospirales; Lachnospiraceae. The record is from RNAcentral.
GGAGAUAGAGGUCGCAUUUUUCAUAAGUAGGAUGACGGAUGUGUCAGGCACAGAGGAACUCAUCAGAAAGGGGAAGAUGCCGAAGGGACGGAGCGCCUGAAGCUCAGUUCCUGGGCAUGACGUGAAUAACGGCAUGACUGUCAUCGCAGGAUGGAGAGCUAUCUGG